Molecule: ribosomal RNA, 599 nt
Filed under: Pectinatella magnifica
Lineage: Eukaryota; Metazoa; Bryozoa; Phylactolaemata; Pectinatellidae
Description: partial 12S ribosomal RNA
Rfam family: Microsporidia small subunit ribosomal RNA
Source: RNAcentral
UGCCAGCAGUAGCGGUUAAACGAGUAAACCCUAGACUUGACCUUCGGUAUAAAAGAUGGUUACAUUUUUAUUUGGGAAACAAAAGAUAUUUUUACAGUGAAAUGAUUAAAUUAUCUUCUACUACUUUCCCUAGCUAUAGAAACCAUGAAACUUUUAAGGAAAACUGGGAUUAGAGACCCCACUAUUCAAAAGCUUAAACAAAUAGCUACCAGGGUAUUACGAACUAUGUUUAAAACCCAAAGAACCUGGCGGCCUUUAACAGUACUAGGGGAACCUGUGUGGUAAUCGAUACUCCACGUUAAUCUUCACCUUUUCUUGAAAUUCUCAGCCUGUAUACCUCCGUCAUAACUCACCUUUAAGAGUUUACUAGUGAGUAAAAAGUGCUUCACCACUGUAUGGCAGGUCAAGGUGCAGCCUAUGAAAAGGGGCACCAUGGGUGACAAUUUGGUAAAAGAUAAUGAAUUUUCUUAGGAAAUUAAGAAAUGAAAAAGGACUUAGUAGUAAGGAAUUCUUUAAAAUAAAUUCCUGAAAAACUCCCUAGAAGGUGCACAAAUCGCCCGUCACUCUCAUCGAAAGACGAGAUAAGUCGUAACAAAGUA